GGAGUCGGCCAGGCGGUCGCGGACCGCGCCGGGUGCGCGGGUUCGAGGAAAGUCCGGACUCCACAGGGCAGGGUGGUCGGUAACACCGACCCGGGGUGACCCGCGGGACAGUGCCACAGAGAACAGACCGCCACCGCUCACGCGGUGGUAAGGGUGAAACGGUGGUGUAAGAGACCACCAGCGGCCGGAGCGAUCCGGCCGGCUCGGUAAACCCCACCCGGAGCAAGGUCAAAAAGGGGAUCUUCGGAUCUCCGCGCGGAUGAUCGAGGGCGGCCCGCCCGAGUCCGCGGGUAGACCGCACCGAGGUCGCCGGCAACGGCGAUCCCAGAUGGAUGACCGCCCGGUCCGUUCACGGACCGACAGAAUCCGGCUUACCGGCCGACUCCCCUC
RNAcentral lists this RNase P RNA (390 nucleotides) under Nocardiopsis lambiniae. RNAcentral describes it as "Nocardiopsis sp. DSM 44743 RNase P RNA component class A". It matches the Rfam family "Bacterial RNase P class A". From Rfam's summary of the family: Ribonuclease P (RNase P) is a ubiquitous endoribonuclease, found in archaea, bacteria and eukarya as well as chloroplasts and mitochondria. Lineage: Bacteria; Bacillati; Actinomycetota; Actinomycetes; Streptosporangiales; Nocardiopsidaceae. The record is from RNAcentral.